AGCAGCCUUGAUGGUGCGAGUGAUGAUGCAUGAUAUACAUCCCCUUAUGCUCUUCUUCAUUCUCCACAUCCUUCCAUUUCCUACCCACAAUACACACGCUUUCUUCUUUUCUCCUUAUAUAUAUUUUUUCUCUCCCUACAUUUUUUAUUCUAAAACUCACUUGCAUUUAUCUUCCAUAUUUAAUAAGUUGGCAAAUUACAUAAAGCACUAAGCAACUAAGCACAAUUAU
Non-coding RNA from Arachis ipaensis, 229 nucleotides. Lineage: Eukaryota; Viridiplantae; Streptophyta; Magnoliopsida; Fabales; Fabaceae. The record is from RefSeq and is a predicted model, not a curated record.